AACGAACGCUGGCGGCAGGCCUAACACAUGCAAGUCGAACGAGAAGCUUUCCUUCGGGAAAGUGGAAAGUGGCAGACGGGUGAGUAACGCGUGGGAACGUGCCUCUCGGUUCGGAAUAACUCAGGGAAACUUGGGCUAAUACCGAAUACGCCCUUCGGGGGAAAGAGUUUAUCGCCGAUGGAUCGGCCCGCGUCAGAUUAGCUUGUUGGUGAGGUAAAGGCUCACCAAGGCGACGAUCUGUAGCUGGUCUGAGAGGAUGAUCAGCCACACUGGGACUGAGACACGGCCCAGACUCCUACGGGAGGCAGCAGUGGGGAAUAUUGGACAAUGGGCGCAAGCCUGAUCCAGCCAUGCCGCGUGGGUGAAGAAGGCCCUAGGGUUGUAAACCCCUUUCAGCGGGGAAGAUAAUGACGGUACCCGCAGAAGAAGCCCCGGCUAACUCCGUG
This 446-nucleotide ribosomal RNA is filed under the name uncultured bacterium. RNAcentral's name for it is "bacterial SSU rRNA". It matches the Rfam family "Bacterial small subunit ribosomal RNA", at positions 29 to 507 of the family's 1533-position model. The record is from RNAcentral.